This 428-nucleotide ribosomal RNA is filed under the name uncultured prokaryote. RNAcentral's name for it is "bacterial SSU rRNA". It matches the Rfam family "Bacterial small subunit ribosomal RNA", at positions 355 to 774 of the family's 1533-position model. The record is from RNAcentral.
CUAAGAAUCUUCCGCAAUGGGCGAAAGCCCGACGCAGCGACGCCGCGUGAGUGAGGAAGGUUUUCGGACCGUAAAGCUCUGUCGCGCGGGAAGGAAUGUAUCGUGGCUAAUAUCCAUGAUAUUUGACGGUACCGCUAAAGGAAGCACCGGCUAACUCCGUGCCAGCAGCCGCGGUAAUACGGGGGGUGCAAGCGUUGUUCGGAAUUAUUGGGCGUAAAGAGCGUGUAGGCGGCUGAAUAAGUCAGAUGUGAAAUCCCUGGGCUUAACCCAGGAAGUGCAUUUGAAACUAUUCAGCUUGAGUAGGGGAGAGGAAAGUGGAAUUCCUGGUGUAGAGGUGAAAAUCGUAGAUAUCAGGAGGAACACCGGUGGCGAAGGCGACUUUCUGGCCCUAUACUGACGCUGAGACGCGAGAGCGUGGGUAGCAAACA